Molecule: long non-coding RNA, 298 nt
Organism: Sorghum bicolor (sorghum)
Lineage: Eukaryota; Viridiplantae; Streptophyta; Magnoliopsida; Poales; Poaceae
Exons: 2
Source: RefSeq, a predicted model, not a curated record
GGGAUGAUUCGUGAGGGGAGUCGGGGCCGCGGGCGCGCUUUAUAGCCGCGUGGGAUGGCAUUGGAGUGAGCCAGCGAGGCCGCAGCCAAUCAACUCUGCUCCAUCUCUGGGUAUCAAGGGAUGCUUCGUGCUGCAUCUGCUCCCGCCCACAUUUCUGGAUGUGUCCAGACGACUGUCGCGUCUAUUUUUUUAAGAAUUUGUUUGGUACACUCACAACAGUUUUAUAGGUAAAGUUGUUUUUCUUCGCUUUUCAUAAAGACAUGAGUUGAGAUGAAGCUGAAAAAAGUAGUUUAUUGUA